This 248-nucleotide long non-coding RNA is filed under the name Lathyrus oleraceus (garden pea). RNAcentral's name for it is "Pisum sativum (pea) long non-coding RNA (PSAT_LNC013917)". The record is from RNAcentral. Lineage: Eukaryota; Viridiplantae; Streptophyta; Magnoliopsida; Fabales; Fabaceae.
UCUUUGAAUAUUCAAGUUUUAUUUGAAAGAAUUUUGUUGGAUUUUUGUUCGACUCUUCUAUGGCUAUUAUCACGUGGUCAAAUUUUUGAGUCAAUGAUUCCAAGAUUUUUAUAAUAGUUGAUCUUGAUGUCAACACUUCUCCAUAAUCCUUGAUUCGAUUCACCAGUUUUGUAACCCUAGUAAAAAAAUCAGUUAUGCUUUCAUUUCUUCCAUCUGAAGCAAUUCAAACGUUCUUUUGUGAAUUUAUA